UAAUUCAUCUGUGUAAUUUGACUUUCUGGAUGUGAGAAAUCAUGUCGGCAUCCUCCCCUUGGCACCUAUCAACCAGAGUUGGACAGCCCCAAAUGUAGAGUUCCUUCAAGGCAGUCAGGUUCCGUGUGCUUCCAGGCAAAGAUGUCAGGUUGGGGCAAUCGAUUAUGUUAAAUUCUUCCGGGGAAACGAGCUGCCCAAUCCAAUCCCGCAAUAUAUCUAGACCUUUGCACUCCGUCAACCAUAGUACUCUGAGAGCGGUAAGGUUCUUCAUGCUUUCAGGCAAAGAUGUCAGGUUGGGGCAACCGCUGAUGUGAAAUUUUUGUAGGGAAACGAGUUGCCCUAACCAUUCCGGCAGUAACUC
This 361-nucleotide long non-coding RNA is filed under the name Brachypodium distachyon (stiff brome). Its description in RNAcentral is "long non-coding RNA (BDIS_LNC002743)". The record is from RNAcentral. Lineage: Eukaryota; Viridiplantae; Streptophyta; Magnoliopsida; Poales; Poaceae.